RNAcentral lists this ribosomal RNA (446 nucleotides) under uncultured bacterium. Its description in RNAcentral is "bacterial SSU rRNA". It matches the Rfam family "Bacterial small subunit ribosomal RNA", at positions 329 to 792 of the family's 1533-position model. The record is from RNAcentral.
GUCCAGACUCCUACGGGAGGCAGCAGUGGGGAAUAUUGCACAAUGGGGGAAGCCCUGAUGCAGCGACGCCGCGUGAGCGAUGAAGUAUUUCGGUAUGUAAAGCUCUAUCAGCAGGGAAGAAAAUGACGGUACCUGACUAAGAAGCCCCGGUUAACUACGUGCCAGCAGCCGCGGUAAUACGUAGGGGGCAAGCGUUAUCCGGAUUUACUGGGUGUAAAGGGAGCGUAGACGGCUGUGCAAGCCAGAUGUGAAAGCCCGGGGCUCAACCCCGGGACUGCAUUUGGAACUGUGUGGCUGGAGUGUCGGAGAGGCAGGCGGAAUUCCUAGUGUAGUGGUGAAAUGCGUAGAUAUUAGGAGGAACACCAGUGGCGAAGGCGGCCUGCUGGACGAUGACUGACGUUGAGGCUCGAAAGCGUGGGGAGCAAACAGGAUUAGAUACCCUUGUA